Molecule: ribosomal RNA, 497 nt
Filed under: uncultured bacterium
Lineage: Bacteria
Description: partial 16S ribosomal RNA
Rfam family: Bacterial small subunit ribosomal RNA
Source: RNAcentral
GAUGAACGCUGGCGGUGUGCCUAAUACAUGCAAGUCGAGCGAACAGACGAGGAGCUUGCUCCUCUGACGUUAGCGGCGGACGGGUGAGUAACACGUGGUUAACCUACCUAUAAGACUGGGAUAACUUCGGGAAACCGGAGCUAAUACCGGAUAAUAUAUUGAACCGCAUGGUUCAAUAGUGAAAGACGGUUUUGCUGUCACUUAUAGAUGGAUCCGCGCCGCAUUAGCUAGUUGGUAAGGUAACGGCUUACCAAGGCAACGAUGCGUAGCCGACCUGAGAGGGUGAUCAGCCACACUGGAACUGAGACACGGUCCAGACUCCUACGGGAGGCAGCAGUAGGGAAUCUUCCGCAAUGGGCGAAAGCCUGACGGAGCAACGCCGCGUGAGUGAUGAAGGUCCUCGGAUCGUAAAACUCUGUUAUUAGGGAAGAACAAAUGUGUAAGUAACUAUGCACGUCUUGACGGUACCUAAUCAGAAAGCCACGGCUAACUACGUG